Molecule: ribosomal RNA, 429 nt
Filed under: Gemmatimonadota bacterium
Lineage: Bacteria; Pseudomonadati; Gemmatimonadota
Description: Gemmatimonadetes bacterium partial 16S ribosomal RNA
Rfam family: Bacterial small subunit ribosomal RNA
Source: RNAcentral
UAGGGAAUCUUCGGCAAUGGACGAAAGUCUGACCGAGCAACGCCGCGUGAGUGAAGAAGGUUUUCGGAUCGUAAAACUCUGUUGUUAGAGAAGAACAAGGACGUUAGUAACUGAACGUCCCCUGACGGUAUCUAACCAGAAAGCCACGGCUAACUACGUGCCAGCAGCCGCGGUAAUACGUAGGUGGCAAGCGUUGUCCGGAUUUAUUGGGCGUAAAGCGAGCGCAGGCGGUUUCUUAAGUCUGAUGUGAAAGCCCCCGGCUCAACCGGGGAGGGUCAUUGGAAACUGGGAGACUUGAGUGCAGAAUAGGAGAGUGGAAUUCCAUGUGUAGCGGUGAAAUGCGUAGAUAUAUGGAGGAACACCAGUGGCGAAGGCGGCUCUCUGGUCUGUAACUGACGCUGAGGCUCGAAAGCGUGGGGAGCAAACAGG